AUUGAACGCUGGCGGCAGGCCUAACACAUGCAAGUCGAGCGGAUGAAGGGAGCUUGCUCCUGGAUUCAGCGGCGUACGGGUGAGUAAUGCCUAGGAAUCUGCCUGGUAGUGGGGGAUAACGUCCGGAAACGGGCGCUAAUACCGCAUACGUCCUGAGGGAGAAAGUGGGGGAUCUUCGGACCUCACGCUAUCAGAUGAUCCUAGGUCGGAUUAGCUAGUUGGUGGGGUAAAGGCCUACCAAGGCGACGAUCCGUAACUGGUCUGAGAGGAUGAUCAGUCACACUGGAACUGGGACACGGUCAAGACUCCUACGGGAGGCAGCAGUGGGGAAUAUUGGACAAUGGGCGAAAGCCUGAUCCAGCCAUGCCGCGUGUGUGAAGAAGGUCUUCGGAUUGUAAAGCACUUUAAGUGGGGAGGAAGGGCAGUAAGUUAAUACCUUGCUGUUUUGACGUUACCAACAGAAUAAGCACCGGCUAACUUCGUG
RNAcentral lists this ribosomal RNA (484 nucleotides) under uncultured bacterium. RNAcentral describes it as "partial 16S ribosomal RNA". It matches the Rfam family "Bacterial small subunit ribosomal RNA", at positions 30 to 507 of the family's 1533-position model. The record is from RNAcentral.